This 200-nucleotide ribosomal RNA is filed under the name uncultured organism. Its description in RNAcentral is "partial small subunit ribosomal RNA". It matches the Rfam family "Bacterial small subunit ribosomal RNA", at positions 1184 to 1382 of the family's 1533-position model. The record is from RNAcentral.
GUCAAGUCCUCAUGCCCCUUACGUCCAGGGCUGCACACAUGCUACAAUGGCCGGUACAGUGGGCUGCAAUCCCGCGAGGGGGAGCUAAUCCCAAAAAGCCGGUCUCAGUUCGGAUCGCAGUCUGCAACUCGACUGCGUGAAGUCGGAGUCGCUAGUAAUCGCAGAUCAGCAAUGCUGCGGUGAAUACGUUCCCGGGCCUU